UGGGGGAUAUUGCACAAUGGGGGGAACCCUGAUGCAGCGACGCCACGUGGGUGAAGGAGCGUUUCGGCGCGUAAAGCCCUAUCGGCAGGGAAGAAGGAGGACGGUACCUGACUAAGAAGCCCCGGCUAACUACGUGCC
This 138-nucleotide ribosomal RNA is filed under the name uncultured bacterium. Its description in RNAcentral is "partial 16S ribosomal RNA". It matches the Rfam family "Bacterial small subunit ribosomal RNA", at positions 355 to 509 of the family's 1533-position model. The record is from RNAcentral.